GGCGAACGCUGGCGGCGUGCUUAACACAUGCAAGUCGAACGGAAAGGCCCUGCUUUUGUGGGGUGCUCGAGUGGCGAACGGAUGAGUAACACGUGAGUAACCUGCCCUUGACUUUGGGAUAACUUCAGGAAACUGGGGCUAAUACCGGAUAGGAGCACCUGCUGCAUGGUGGGGGCUGGAAAGUUUCGGCGGUUGGGGAUGGACUCGCGGCUUAUCAGCUUGUUGGUGGGGUAGUGGCUUACCAAGGCUUUGACGGGUAGCCGGCCUGAGAGGGUGACCGGCCACAUUGGGACUGAGAUACGGCCCAGACUCCGACGGGAGGCAGCAGUGGGAAAUAUUGCACAAUGGGCGGAGGCCUGAUGCAGCAACGCCGCGUGCGGGAUGACGGCCUUCGGGUUGUAAACCGCUUUCGCCUGUGACGAAGCGUGAGUGACGGUAAUGGGUAAAGAAGCACCGGCUAACUACGUG
Molecule: ribosomal RNA, 468 nt
Filed under: uncultured bacterium
Lineage: Bacteria
Description: partial 16S ribosomal RNA
Rfam family: Bacterial small subunit ribosomal RNA
Source: RNAcentral